GCAUGCAGGGGCCAUUGUGACAUAUAGCCAUGCCAAUUGCCUAGGUGAAGUUUGUCUCCUCUCUUGCCUAAGCCCUUUCUACAGCGGGGAUUUAGAUGUAUCACCGAAACAAGCCUCCAGGUGAUAUUUUGCCAUGUACCUGAGACCAUAUCAAAGACCUAAUAACAACUCUUGUACCUGGAGCCAGGACAUGUGCAGGAUGGUGACUCUCAUCCCUGAACCUUUCCAUAGGUGUUAUUGUGACAUAUACCUUUGCCCAACUCCUGAGUGAUUUAAUAAUCCUGCCUAGUUACAGCAUAUAGAUGACAUUUUGACAUAUACCUGGGCCAAGAACCUUGCUGAUUUGACCCUCCUCUCUUAGCAGCCUCCUCAGAAGGGAUCAUAACAUUUCUCUGGACCCAUUGUCUAGACUCUGCCAAAAGGGGAUUAUUACAUACUGCAGAGCCCAGCACCCAGGGCACAGCACCCGGAUGAUAUUACUCUUCUGCCCGGGUUCUUCAUAAAAAGAAAAUUAUGGCACAUUUCAUAUUGCUGGGCCCAGCACCCUUAUGAUGUGACUCUUCUGCCUGUGCUGGAGCCACCGAAGGUAUUUUGAAAUAUCUUGGGCUGGUUAUGUACAUGUUUUGGCUCUCAUAACUUGACUGGGUUUUUUCCACAUGUGGGAUAGUGUCAUAUUGCUGGAUUAGAAUUAUAAUAAUGUGACUCUUCUGCCUGAGCCCUGCAACGGGAUACUAUCACAUAUCUCUGGACCUAACAGCUAGGUGAUAUGUCUCUCCAGCCUGUGCCCUGCCCCCAGAUGACAUUUUGAAAUAUCACUAACACUAGCUUCUAGGUAAUGUAACUCUCCUCUCCUGCCUCGGUGUAGGAGAUUGGUCAGGGUGGUGGAAAAAACUGCAGAAAGAUGCAAAUCUUCUUUGAAGGCCAGAAGUUUUUAUACAAAACCUUCAGAAUAGGAUUUGGCUUGAAGCAGGCAGAUUCUCUUAUCCGGUGCCUGAAAGCUUAAGUUAGAUAACAAGGGGAUGUUAAGAAACUGAUCUAGAUAAGUUAGUUUACUUAGGCCUCGGAACCUGGCCUUUAAUCAUUGGCAAAACUGCUCUCUUCAGGGAGGGCAACCAUGUUAACUAUCCCCAAGUGUGAUGACUCAAGGCCUUUGUCAUUAAAUCUAUACUGCAUAAAUGCCCACAGUGCCAGCUUGUGAGGGCUGUGGCUGCUGACUCUUUACAGCACCCUCCUCAGGGUCUGUAAGUGGCCUGGUCCCCUAGCGUGCUCUUUCACUGGAUACCUGUGUCUGAGUGCAUUCCUUCAUACGUCGUUCAGCCAGGGUCUGUGGGUCAGACCCAGAAGGUGGUGCCCCAUGUGAGGAACACUGCAACAAAUCACCACAGAACUCUCAAAAAUGAAGGUAAAUAGACUGCACAGUCAGUAAGUCAGUCUUUGGUGCCCGCUCAGGAUUUCCAAGUUCGAGGGCAUUGUUCAGGCUGGGGUUUCAUCAUGGGACAGCAGUUAUCAGCACAAUAGAAGCAGUAUAUAAAAGUAUUGAAACAGCUGCUUAAAGCUAGUGGAGCCUCGGUUUCACAAGCUCAAUUAAGGGACCUAAUGCAAACUGUUGUAUCCCAUAACCCAUGGUUCCUGGAAGAAGGUAUGCUAGAUGUAGAGCUCUGGGAACAGGUGCGGAGAAAUCUUAAACAACAUCAUGUGCAAGGGCAAUGGGUCCCAGUAACAUCUUUAACGUUAUGGGCUUUAGAACAGUUCUGGUCCUGCUCUACACAGAAGAGCCUAGACAGGGAAGGGAGGAAGAACCAUCACCUACCUUACUGCCUCCUUAUCCCUCAGCCCCGCCAUCACUGGGCCAAAAUAACAAAGAGGAAAUGGAGGUUGUGCCUGAGCCUGCUCCUCCAAUAGACUGAAUAAAAGACAAGGGAUACACUACAGCUAUGGGACCCUGUCUUUGGCAAGUGGCAUUAGAAGGGGAGCUCUUACCCUGUCCGGUAAUGCAAGAUCAACAAGGCAAUCAGGUUCUCUUUGAAUUCCAGCAUGAUGCAUCGAACCGUACCAUGACAUGGCUAGGACCCAACCUGGUACCAGAAAUGAAGAAAAUGACCCUACAGGACCCACAGCCCUGGACGCUGUGGCUUCCUUGGACAACACAGGCCCCAGACAUUAUGCUGAAGAAGCAGAAGGCUUAGCAAAUCCUGCUCCAAGCCGAAAUACCUGUCACUCCAAAUAAUUUGUUCCAUUUUUAUUCUCUCACUCUGCCUACAACUGGUACCUGCUACACUCUAUUGGGCUCAUCUCUUAAAUCCAUCUUUCUUCUGCCCUGUUACUUAGACAAACACCCACUUCCCAGCUUCUAACAACGUGACGGCUUGGCUAAAAGGGAUUAAUAUACCUUCAGUGGGGUUCCGUAGCAAUGGCACACAUCAGACUAAGGUACCAGGUCACUCCUUGAUUGGAAAAUAAUGUUGCUAAUAAUACUCAUGUUUGUCUUAUGUUAUUUACUAAUUCUAGGAUGAAAAGCCAGAAUACAAGCAGUGACCACCACACCUGACAGACCUCUUGCUGCACAUAUCUGUACUCUCCAAUUAACAAAACCUGAUGCUAAAAACAGAAAAGAGGGGAGAUGUAGGAGAUUGGUCAGGGUGGUGGGAAAAAUUGUAGAAAGAUGAAACCUUGGAAGGCUGGAAGGUUUUACAAAAGCUUCAGAAUAGGAUUUGGCUGAAGGCAGCCAGAUUCUCUUAUCCUGUGCCUUAAAGCUUAAGUUAGAUAACAAGGGGAUAUAAAGAAACUGAUCUAGGUAAGUUAGUUUACUUAGGCCUUGGAACCUGGCCUUUAAUCAUCUGCAGGACUGCUCUCCAGGGAGGGCGACUAUGUUAAUUAUCCACAAGUGUGUUAACUCAAAGCCUUUGUUAUUAAAUUUAUACUGAAUAAAUGCCUGCAGUGCCAGCAUGUCAGGGCCAUGGCUGCUGACUCUUUAUGGCACCCUCCUCAGUGUAUGUAAGCUGCCUGGUCUGUUAGCUCGCUGUUUCACUGGAUAUCUGUGUCUGAGUGCAUUUCUUCAUCUGUCACUCGGUCAGUGUCUGUGGGUUGGACCAGGUAGGAACUGAAAACCAAACACCACAUGUUCUCACUCAUAAGUGGGAGUUGAACAAGGAGAACACAU
Molecule: long non-coding RNA, 3160 nt
Filed under: Homo sapiens (human)
Lineage: Eukaryota; Metazoa; Chordata; Mammalia; Primates; Hominidae
Description: HSALNT0346443
Source: RNAcentral